GACGAACCGUCCAAACGUUAUUCGGUAUCACUGGGCUUAAAGCGUGCGUAGGCGGCUUGGAAGGUGUGAUGUGAAAGCCCACGGCUCAACCGUGGAAUUGCGUCGCAAACCAUCAAGCUGGAGGAAGAUAGGGGUGAUGGGAACUUAUGGUGGAGCGGUGAAAUGCGUUGAUAUCAUAGGGAACACCGGUGGCGAAGGCGCAUCACUGGAUCUUUUCUGACGCUGAGGCACGAAAGCUAGGGUAGCGAACGGG
RNAcentral lists this ribosomal RNA (253 nucleotides) under uncultured bacterium. RNAcentral describes it as "partial 16S ribosomal RNA". It matches the Rfam family "Bacterial small subunit ribosomal RNA", at positions 524 to 776 of the family's 1533-position model. The record is from RNAcentral.